AGACACUAUGAAAUCCAUAAACACAACAAUUUGGAAUCUUCGUUCUUCCAAGAACACCUUCAAGAUACGGCAUUUAUUGUCAGGGAUGAACCUUUGGUGAAUACAGGAUCUGAGAUCCUAUGUAUUCUAAACAGCUUCCAGAUUCUGUCUACAAGAUCUUCAAACAUGUCCUUACACAAAUGGCCUUUUGUAACUGGAACUUUGGAAAUGAGGAAAAUAUAGUAGUAAGGUAGAGUAAGAGGUAGGAAACCUGGAUGCCCAGCCGACUUUGCUUGUACCUUAUCUCUGUUCAUCUCUUCUGCUAUCCAUAGGUAUAAAUCACAGAAAUGUACAUGGUUACCUAC
Molecule: long non-coding RNA, 344 nt
Organism: Canis lupus familiaris (dog)
Lineage: Eukaryota; Metazoa; Chordata; Mammalia; Carnivora; Canidae
Exons: 3
Source: RefSeq, a predicted model, not a curated record